Molecule: transfer RNA, 71 nt
Filed under: bacterium
Lineage: Bacteria
Description: tRNA-Cys
Rfam family: tRNA
About the family: Transfer RNA (tRNA) molecules are approximately 80 nucleotides in length. Their secondary structure includes four short double-helical elements and three loops (D, anti-codon, and T loops). Further hydrogen bonds mediate the characteristic L-shaped molecular structure. tRNAs have two regions of fundamental functional importance: the anti-codon, which is responsible for specific mRNA codon recognition, and the 3' end, to which the tRNAs corresponding amino acid is attached (by aminoacyl-tRNA synthetases). tRNAs cope with the degeneracy of the genetic code in two manners: having more than one tRNA (with a specific anti-codon) for a particular amino acid; and 'wobble' base-pairing, i.e. permitting non-standard base-pairing at the 3rd anti-codon position.
Source: RNAcentral
GUCGCGGUAGCCAAGCGGUUAGGCAAUGGUCUGCAAAACCAUCUAGAUGGGUUCGACUCCCAUCCGCGACU